AUGAGAGACGCUGCGUAGUAUUGAGACGGGUUAGGCUGUAGGCCUAUGUUGGAUCGGCGGUCUGUGGACCACCUGUAGUAAUUGAGAUGAAUGGUCUAGUCAAUCGAUCUCUUAAUGAGAGAGUGUUGGUUGUGUCCGGGUGGGUUGAGCGUAGCGACCAUAGGAGCGGAAGCUCGGUCAUACUGCUCAUAUGAUUGGAAUCACCAAGUUUGGUGUUGUCGGUGAGUUGAGAUUGAGUACACAAACGGAGUGUUUGCUGGGACUCAUCGCGAGAACGGUGUGGCGUCGAAGCGUGGCAGAGGAAAAAGAAAAUGUUCUCUAUGAGACAUUGGAUCUAUAGUAGGCCACGUGAGGUGUUGAUGGACUAGGCUCUCAGAUAACUGGGAUUGGUAGAUGUGCCGAAGUGUGCCAUCUCAUUUUGAAGCUGAAAUCCGUGUGCGAAUAGAGCGCUUGCAGUUGAGCGAUGCAUGGUAAUGUCGCAUGAAGCGAUGCCGGUCGAGGAACCAGAGUGAGUUUCACCGAGGAGUGGUGGAUGCAAUGAAGAGUCAUGCAUAGCGAGGUAGACUCUUGAAUGGCUAGAAUGGUAGAGUGCCAUCUUGUGGACUCCUGUGUGGAUCGAGGAGGUCUACCCGUAUGUAAAAUGAAGUGGUGGUGAACCAUUUGAUUAGGGGAUAGUACUGCUCUCGAAGAAAGUUGUGUUCAGUGGCAUUGGUAGGUGUCGUAUGUUAGUAAUGAUUGGUGACGACGCGGAGACCGAUAAGUAGAGUGUGCGAGCAAUGGUUGAUUAAGUGAAAAAGGCAAUUGAAGGGUGCCCAUUUUGGAAUGUGUCAACUGGGAACGAGUUGAAUUAAUGGGACAAUCGAGGCAAAGUAAGUUCCUCGUGUGGUCGACUGUGAGUGGUGUUGAAGCAUGGUAAGUCGUUGAAUACCGAU
Molecule: long non-coding RNA, 932 nt
Filed under: Ananas comosus (pineapple)
Lineage: Eukaryota; Viridiplantae; Streptophyta; Magnoliopsida; Poales; Bromeliaceae
Description: long non-coding RNA (ACOM_LNC013787)
Source: RNAcentral